RNAcentral lists this long non-coding RNA (199 nucleotides) under Spirodela polyrhiza (greater duckweed). RNAcentral describes it as "long non-coding RNA (SPOL_LNC001345)". Lineage: Eukaryota; Viridiplantae; Streptophyta; Magnoliopsida; Alismatales; Araceae. The record is from RNAcentral.
UCUUGUUUGCAAGUGAGGUCUGGGGAUGGUAGAAGGCCGCAAAUCACAUGGGGAUAGAUCCCAACGUAAGUAAACCUGGACUGCUCCACUAGACCUUACCAGCACCACUCGUUUUCUUGUUCAGAAUCAAUCUGGGCGGGUAAGUAACAGCUUAAGCCCGAGCCCUAAUAUUCGGAGAGAAGGGGGUAGAGAAAAGUGC